UACGUAGGUGUCAAGCGUUGUCCGGAUUUAUUGGGCGUAAAGCGCGCGCAGGCGGUCCUUUAAGUCUGAUGUGAAAUCUUGCGGCUCAACCGCAAGCGGUCAUUGGAAACUGGGGGACUUGAGUACAGAAGAGGAAAGUGGAAUUCCACGUGUAGCGGUGAAAUGCGUAGAGAUGUGGAGGAACACCAGUGGCGAAGGCGACUUUCUGGUCUGUAACUGACGCUGAGGCGCGAAAGCGUGGGGAGCAAACAGG
RNAcentral lists this ribosomal RNA (253 nucleotides) under uncultured bacterium. RNAcentral's name for it is "partial 16S ribosomal RNA". It matches the Rfam family "Bacterial small subunit ribosomal RNA", at positions 524 to 776 of the family's 1533-position model. The record is from RNAcentral.